GAGCCAACCUUAUGAAGCAGGACUUGCUUCAGUGGGGCUUUGGUGCUCACUGAGUCUGCCUCCUGAGUGUGUCACU
This 76-nucleotide microRNA precursor is filed under the name Myotis davidii. Its description in RNAcentral is "mir-9229 microRNA precursor family". It matches the Rfam family "mir-9229 microRNA precursor family". Lineage: Eukaryota; Metazoa; Chordata; Mammalia; Chiroptera; Vespertilionidae. The record is from Rfam by way of RNAcentral.